GCAAUCUACCUUUUACAGAGGGAUAGCCCAGAGAAAUUUGGAUUAAUACCUCAUAGUAUAAUGACCUGGCAUCAGGAUGUUAUUAAAGUCACAACGGUAAAAGAUGAGCAUGCGUCCCAUUAGCUAGUUGGUAAGGUAACGGCUUACCAAGGCUACGAUGGGUAGGGGUCCUGAGAGGGAGAUCC
RNAcentral lists this ribosomal RNA (185 nucleotides) under uncultured Bacteroidota bacterium. Its description in RNAcentral is "uncultured Bacteroidetes bacterium partial 16S ribosomal RNA". It matches the Rfam family "Bacterial small subunit ribosomal RNA", at positions 121 to 306 of the family's 1533-position model. The record is from RNAcentral. Lineage: Bacteria; Pseudomonadati; Bacteroidota.